GUGCGUAAUGAGUAGCAAACAAACGGCGAACCGUGAACCAAUCAUACUUAGUAUUUUUACAGUGUUUAUUGUGCACCGCGAUGCAAUAACAUACUAAGAGUUUUUAGCAGUUAGUGUUGCAAUUGUUAUAAAGUAAUAUUGUAAAGUAAUAUCGAUCACCAUCGCUUCCCGCCAAGCCAAACUAUGAUGCCCAGUAUUUUGGUCAUAAACAUAUUUAAAAGUAUUCAUGGAAAAGACAUGUUAACUGUUGAUAACUAUGAGUAUAUGCUUGAUAAGAAACGACUACGAAAACAUGAUGAAAAUAUGGUAUAUUAGUUGAAAUGUACAAAACGGUGUGAGGCAACUUUACGAUCAAUAUUUGACGCCGAAUUCCAUGCUAUAAUAACUAAAACCUUCUUAAUGGAUAUCUAUGAUUCACUAUACUUAUUAUUACACUGACACAAAUUAAAUGAACUAAAAUAUUGGUUUUUGUAAAUGGAACAAAAGAGAAAAUCAGUUCUGUUCACCGGAAUAAGUCAAACAAAAACGGAUUAAUAUUAUUAUUCGUUAAAUUUAAGUGAAAGUAAGUAAAUCUAUCGAUUUAUACCAAAUAUAGAAAAAAAAUAGAAUGUUAAUUACUUUAAAUAAAGAUUAAAAUGUACA
Molecule: long non-coding RNA, 642 nt
Organism: Sipha flava (yellow sugarcane aphid)
Lineage: Eukaryota; Metazoa; Arthropoda; Insecta; Hemiptera; Aphididae
Exons: 3
Source: RefSeq, a predicted model, not a curated record